Molecule: ribosomal RNA, 253 nt
Filed under: uncultured bacterium
Lineage: Bacteria
Description: partial 16S ribosomal RNA
Rfam family: Bacterial small subunit ribosomal RNA
Source: RNAcentral
UACGAAGGGUGCAAGCGUUACUCGGAAUUACUGGGCGUAAAGCGUGCGUAGGCGGUUUGUUAAGUCCGUUGUGAAAGCCCUGGGCUCAACCUGGGAAUUGCAGUGGAUACUGGUGAACUAGAAUGCGGUAGAGGGUGGCGGAACUCCGGGUGUAGCGGUGAAAUGCGUAGAUAUCCGGAAGAACACCGAUGGCGAAGGCAACCACCUGGGCCAGCACUGACGCUCAUGCACGAAAGCGUGGGGAGCAAACAGG